CAUGAAGUUAUGGAUAUUUGAAGUUAUGAAGAAAAAUGAACAUUUAACAAGUGAAAAACAAAAAAAAAUAAUUACACUACCCAAAUUCGAACCCACACCCAGCAACUCAACAAACCAAUGUUUUACCACUAGGGCACAAUGUCAAUUCAUGUAUUUAGUUACAUCAAUUAAAAUAUAUAUUAAAGUUACUUUUAAAAUUUAAAAAAU
This 207-nucleotide long non-coding RNA is filed under the name Lathyrus oleraceus (garden pea). RNAcentral's name for it is "Pisum sativum (pea) long non-coding RNA (PSAT_LNC024115)". The record is from RNAcentral. Lineage: Eukaryota; Viridiplantae; Streptophyta; Magnoliopsida; Fabales; Fabaceae.